AACCUAGCACACCUGCGGUGUGUACCUGCGGAAGGAUCAUUACCGAGUUUACAACUCCCAAACCCCUGUGAACAUACCAAUUGUUGCCUCGGCGGAUCAGCCCGCUCCCGGUAAAACGGGACGGCCCGCCAGAGGACCCCUAAACUCUGUUUCUAUAUGUAACUUCUGAGUAAAACCAUAAAUAAAUCAAAACUUUCAGCAACGGAUCU
RNAcentral lists this unclassified non-coding RNA (209 nucleotides) under soil metagenome. RNAcentral describes it as "partial contains 5.8S ribosomal RNA, internal transcribed spacer 2, and large subunit ribosomal RNA". The record is from RNAcentral.